RNAcentral lists this ribosomal RNA (792 nucleotides) under Klebsiella pneumoniae. RNAcentral's name for it is "partial 23S ribosomal RNA". It matches the Rfam family "Bacterial large subunit ribosomal RNA", at positions 2151 to 2925 of the family's 2925-position model. The record is from RNAcentral. Lineage: Bacteria; Pseudomonadati; Pseudomonadota; Gammaproteobacteria; Enterobacterales; Enterobacteriaceae.
GAGGCUUUGAAGCGUGGACGCCAGUCUGCGUGGAGCCAACCUUGAAAUACCACCCUUUAAUGUUUGAUGUUCUAACGUUGGCCCCUGACCGGGGUUGCGGACAGUGUCUGGUGGGUAGUUUGACUGGGGCGGUCUCCUCCCAAAGCGUAACGGAGGAGCACGAAGGUUAGCUAAUCCUGGUCGGACAUCAGGAGGUUAGUGCAAUGGCAUAAGCUAGCUUGACUGCGAGCGUGACGGCGCGAGCAGGUGCGAAAGCAGGUCAUAGUGAUCCGGUGGUUCUGAAUGGAAGGGCCAUCGCUCAACGGAUAAAAGGUACUCCGGGGAUAACAGGCUGAUACCGCCCAAGAGUUCAUAUCGACGGCGGUGUUUGGCACCUCGAUGUCGGCUCAUCACAUCCUGGGGCUGAAGUAGGUCCCAAGGGUAUGGCUGUUCGCCAUUUAAAGUGGUACGCGAGCUGGGUUUAGAACGUCGUGAGACAGUUCGGUCCCUAUCUGCCGUGGGCGCUGGAGAAUUGAGGGGGGCUGCUCCUAGUACGAGAGGACCGGAGUGGACGCAUCACUGGUGUUCGGGUUGUCAUGCCAAUGGCACUGCCCGGUAGCUAAAUGCGGAAGAGAUAAGUGCUGAAAGCAUCUAAGCACGAAACUUGCCCCGAGAUGAGUUCUCCCUGAGACUUUAAGUCUCCUGAAGGAACGUUGAAGACGACGACGUUGAUAGGCCGGGUGUGUAAGCGCAGCGAUGCGUUGAGCUAACCGGUACUAAUGAACCGUGAGGCUUAACCUUACAACGCCGAAG